This 253-nucleotide ribosomal RNA is filed under the name uncultured bacterium. Its description in RNAcentral is "partial 16S ribosomal RNA". It matches the Rfam family "Bacterial small subunit ribosomal RNA", at positions 524 to 776 of the family's 1533-position model. The record is from RNAcentral.
UACGUACCGUACGAACGUUAUUCGGAAUUACUGGGCUUAAAGGGUUUGUAGGCGGCUUUGUAAGUCAGGUGUGAAAUCCCUCGGCUCAACCGAGGAAUGGCGCUUGAUACUGCAAGGCUUGAGGGAGACAGGGGUAAGCGGAACUGAUGGUGGAGCGGUGAAAUGCGUUGAUAUCAUCAGGAACACCGGUGGCGAAAGCGGCUUACUGGGUCUCUUCUGACGCUGAGGAACGAAAGCUAGGGUAGCGAACGGG